GUUUUUUUACCUCUCAGGUUACAAUGAGAUGUGGGCAUACGAUCAUCAAAGCGUGUUUGUUUCAUCGUACAAAAAAAAUCUGUUUUGAAGCUCACGAAAAACAGAGGUUGCUCGCUCUAAUGUCAUUAUCGUGCAAGUUAUCGUCUCUGGUGGCUCUCUAAAUCGACAUCGAUGUCGAGAUUGCAAAGUCUAUCGUGAUAAAAUUAUCUGCUUCGAUUGCAGUACGAAGGAUCCGACUUGGGUAUAUAGGUGUUUUACCUGGAGGAAAGGUAAUUCCAACGAAUAGAUAGACAAGAAGAGCACUGAGUAAUAUAAACAAGAACAUCAUCGGAGCUCCUGUUUAUCCUUCUGCUGUCAACAAGAGACCAUUCACCAAGAAGAAUGGGAUAUGUAACAAGAAGAUUCCACUCCAUUGCAUCGUCCGGUUACUAGGAAAUUUGCUGCUCAGUUAGCUGAGAACAAUCCCCAAAUUCACAAGGAGGAAACCAAGAAACCAGACUUGAUUUCGAACGAAACAUUAGAUAGAAUCAUAACAGAUGUGGAAGAAGGAGACUUUAAUGAACCAAUGUUUGUUCAACACACUGAAGCCAUGCUUGAAGAGAUUGACCGAAUGGAAGGAAUUGAAAUGGAAGAUUCAAAUGAUAUUGAUGUUGAAGUAGAAGAGUCUGUGAUGGAUAUAGACAGCUGUGACAAGAACAAUCCUC
Long non-coding RNA from Arabidopsis lyrata subsp. lyrata, 704 nucleotides. RefSeq lists it as uncharacterized. The transcript is spliced from 7 exons. NCBI's taxonomy places the organism in Eukaryota, Viridiplantae, Streptophyta, Magnoliopsida, Brassicales, Brassicaceae. The record is from RefSeq and is a predicted model, not a curated record.